This 388-nucleotide ribosomal RNA is filed under the name uncultured bacterium. RNAcentral's name for it is "bacterial SSU rRNA". It matches the Rfam family "Bacterial small subunit ribosomal RNA", at positions 28 to 417 of the family's 1533-position model. The record is from RNAcentral.
GACGAACGCUGGCGGCGUGCUUAACACAUGCAAGUCGAGCGGUAAGGCCCUUUCGGGGGUACACGAGCGGCGAACGGGUGAGUAACACGUGGGUAACCUGCCCUCAGCUCUGGGAUAAGCCUGGGAAACUGGGUCUAAUACUGGAUAUGACUCCACGGUGCAUGUCGUGGGGUGGAAAGCCUUGUGCGGCUGAGGAUGGGCCCGCGGCCUAUCAGCUUGUUGGUGGGGUGANGGCCUACCAAGGCGACGACGGGUAGCCGGCCUGAGAGGGCGACCGGCCACACUGGGACUGAGACACGGCCCAGACUCCUACGGGAGGCAGCAGUGGGGAAUCUUGCGCAAUGGGCGAAAGCCUGACGCAGCGACGCCGCGUGAGGGAUGACGGCCU